Molecule: non-coding RNA, 87 nt
Organism: Acanthosepion pharaonis
Lineage: Eukaryota; Metazoa; Mollusca; Cephalopoda; Sepiida; Sepiidae
Source: the annotation of a GenBank genome assembly
GGUUCCCGUACGAUCACCGAAGUUAAGCAACGACGAGCCUGUUCAGUACCUAGAUGGGUGACCGCUUGGGAAUACUAGGUGCUGUAA